RNAcentral lists this ribosomal RNA (859 nucleotides) under Beltrania rhombica. RNAcentral's name for it is "partial large subunit ribosomal RNA". It matches the Rfam family "Eukaryotic large subunit ribosomal RNA", at positions 77 to 964 of the family's 3401-position model. Lineage: Eukaryota; Fungi; Ascomycota; Sordariomycetes; Amphisphaeriales; Beltraniaceae. The record is from RNAcentral.
CCCCUAGUAACGGCGAGUGAAGCGGGAACAGCUCAAAUUUGAAAUCUGGCCUUCGGGUCCGAAUUGUAAUUUGCAGAGGAUGCUUUUGGUUAGGUACUUUCCGAGUUCCCUGGAACGGGACGCCUUAGAGGGUGAGAGCCCCGUACGGUUGGAUACCGAGCCUUUGUAAAGCUCCUUCGACGAGUCGAGUAGUUUGGGAAUGCUGCUCUAAAUGGGAGGUAAAUUUCUUCUAAAGCUAAAUACCGGCCAGAGACCGAUAGCGCACAAGUAGAGUGAUCGAAAGAUGAAAAGCACUUUGAAAAGAGGGUUAAAUAGCACGUGAAAUUGUUGAAAGGGAAGCGUUUAUGACCAGACUUUUUCCAGGCGAAUCAUCCGGUGUUCUCGCCGGUGCACUUCGUCUGGUUGAGGCCAGCAUCGGUUUCCGUGGGGGGAUAAAAGCGGUGGGAAUGUGACUCCUCCGGGAGUGUUAUAGCCCGCCGUAUAAUACCUCCAUGGGGACCGAGGUUCGCGCAUUGCAAGGAUGCUGGCGUAAUGGUCAUCAACGACCCGUCUUGAAACACGGACCAAGGAGUCGAACAUUUGUGCAAGUGUUUGGGUGUUAAACCCUCACGCGUAAUGAAAGUGAACGGAGGUGAGAGCCCUUACGGGUGCAUCAUCGACCGAUCCUGAUGUUUUCGGAUGGAUUUGAGUAAGAGCAUAACUGUUCGGACCCGAAAGAUGGUGAACUAUGCGUGGAUAGGGUGAAGCCAGAGGAAACUCUGGUGGAGGCUCGCAGCGGUUCUGACGUGCAAAUCGAUCGUCAAAUCUGCGCAUGGGGGCGAAAGACUAAUCGAACCAUCUAGUAGCUGGUUACCGCCGA